Molecule: long non-coding RNA, 199 nt
Filed under: Nicotiana benthamiana
Lineage: Eukaryota; Viridiplantae; Streptophyta; Magnoliopsida; Solanales; Solanaceae
Description: long non-coding RNA (NBEN_LNC009118)
Source: RNAcentral
AGAAUUAAACGUAGCAUUAAUUGGGUUUCUAUAUUCAUACGCUACUACUAAACUUUCGUACAUGUAAUUCCACCUAGUCGGGCAAGGUUUAGGAACCUCUCUUUCUCUAAGGCCAUAUUCGUCACAUUUUUUAAAAUAUUCUCUAAGUCUAGUUCUACGGUUUGAAUAAAAUAGCCAAUUAAGAGCCAUUCUCACCUUU